This 393-nucleotide long non-coding RNA is filed under the name Ananas comosus (pineapple). RNAcentral's name for it is "long non-coding RNA (ACOM_LNC015434)". The record is from RNAcentral. Lineage: Eukaryota; Viridiplantae; Streptophyta; Magnoliopsida; Poales; Bromeliaceae.
AGUAUGUUCGAGUAGGAUUAAAAAAGUCCAGUAAAAAAUUAUAUAAUAAAUUAUAUAUUAAAAUAGUAUUUAAAAUUUUUUAUAUUUUAUGUAAUAUAGAAAGUCCGGCUACUAUACUUUUAUGAGUAUUGAUUCUCUUAUACUCAUAAGUUUUCAGCCUUUAAAUUUAUUCUAUUGAUCAUUUUCAUCCGUUAGAUCACACUAUUCAACCAACUACCCACUCAAUCCUAGAGGAUUACUAUCAUUCUAAGUGGAGGCCACCAUCAUUCUAACCACACAUACCAUCAAUCAACGGUUAAAAAUUUAUGAGUAUAAAGGGAUCUAUACUCAUAAGGAUAUAGUAGCCCCAACCGUAAUAUAGAUACAAUUAAUUUAAAAUUAUUUUAUAUUAUA